GUGGCUGUAGCUCAGUUGGUAGAGUAGCGGACUGUGACUCCGCCUGUCGCGGGUUCAAAUCCCGUCAGCCACCCCA
This 76-nucleotide transfer RNA is filed under the name Candidatus Altimarinota bacterium. RNAcentral's name for it is "tRNA-His". It matches the Rfam family "tRNA". From Rfam's summary of the family: Transfer RNA (tRNA) molecules are approximately 80 nucleotides in length. Their secondary structure includes four short double-helical elements and three loops (D, anti-codon, and T loops). The record is from RNAcentral. Lineage: Bacteria; Candidatus Altimarinota.